Molecule: ribosomal RNA, 397 nt
Filed under: Zoothera aurea (White's thrush)
Lineage: Eukaryota; Metazoa; Chordata; Aves; Passeriformes; Turdidae
Description: partial 12S ribosomal RNA
Rfam family: Bacterial small subunit ribosomal RNA
Source: RNAcentral
GCCUGGCCGUAAAUCUUGAUGCUCGAUAUUACCUGAGCAUCCGCCCGAGAACUACGAGCACAAACGCUUAAAACUCUAAGGACUUGGCGGUGCUCCAAACCCACCUAGAGGAGCCUGUUCUGUAAUCGAUGAUCCACGAUAUUACCUGACCAUUCCUUGCACGAUAUCAGCCUAUAUACCGCCGUCGCUCAGCCCACCUUCCCUGACAGCCCAACAGUGGACGCAAUAGCCUAACCCGCUAGCAAGACAGGUCAAGGUAUAGCCUAUGGAAUGGAAGCAAUGGGCUACAUUUUCUAAGAUAGAACAUACGGAAAGGGAUAUGAAACUGCCCCUGGAAGGCGGAUUUAGCAGUAAAGUGGGACAAUCGAGCCCUCUUUAAGCCGGCCCUGGAGCACGU